AAAGGCUUAAGUUAGCAAACUAAGAGCCUUCAAAGCUUUAAUCAGGAAUUCAAAUUCUUAGCCUUUA
Molecule: transfer RNA, 67 nt
Filed under: Proisotoma minuta
Lineage: Eukaryota; Metazoa; Arthropoda; Collembola; Entomobryomorpha; Isotomidae
Description: tRNA-Trp
Rfam family: tRNA
About the family: Transfer RNA (tRNA) molecules are approximately 80 nucleotides in length.
Source: RNAcentral